GGAAGUUUUAUUUAAUAAAGUAUACAGUUAACUGGGAGACCUAAAAGUUUGUUUCAUAAAAAAAUUGGAGUGGAAAAAAAGUCCAACUGUAAGACCCAACAAAAGGAACUUUGGUAUCCUUCAGGGGAAUCUGUAGGAAGAGACAGUGCUAUCAGAGACUGCUGGCAAAAUGAUGGAAUUUCAUUGAUUUGCCAAGGCCAGUGUGAGGAGUUCAUGCCAUGACCCCAGAGGUCUUCCUUAGUUUUUGGAAUUUACUGUUCAUAUGGAGAACUAGCAAGAAAAAUGGUUGGAGGCACCUUAAAGAUCAUCAUGUUCCAACCCUCUGCCAUGGCAUAUUUGUGGGGCAAGUCUAUAGGAAAUGCACCAUUCUUAAAGAGACGGCCCUCUACUUCCCAGCUGUGGUAAUGCUACCACUCUCAGGAAGCAUAUUUCUGGACAAAACAAGAACAAGCACCGUGUUUUCAUUCCAGGGUCUUAUAAAUCAACAGAAAUAACAGACAUUGGAAGGCACGGAAUGUGGACAGUUUGUCUUUUUGGUUUUUUCUUUUUUUUUUGCAUUUUACAG
This 565-nucleotide long non-coding RNA is filed under the name Gallus gallus (chicken). Its description in RNAcentral is "lncRNA (ENSGALG00010006467.1)". Lineage: Eukaryota; Metazoa; Chordata; Aves; Galliformes; Phasianidae. The record is from RNAcentral.